Molecule: ribosomal RNA, 354 nt
Filed under: uncultured bacterium
Lineage: Bacteria
Description: bacterial SSU rRNA
Rfam family: Bacterial small subunit ribosomal RNA
Source: RNAcentral
GACGAACGCUGGCGGCGUGCUUAACACAUGCAAGUCGAGCGGUAAGGCCCUUUCGGGGGUACGACGAGCGGCGAACGGGUGAGUAACACGUGGGUGACCUGCCCUUAGCUCUGGGAUAAGCCUGGGAAACUGGGUCUAAUACCGGAUAUGACUCCAUAACGCAUGUUGUGGGGUGGAAAGCCUUGUGCGGCUAGGGAUGGGCCCGCGGCCUAUCAGCUUGUUGGUGGGGGUGAUGGCCCACCAAGGCGACGACGGGUAGCCGGCCUGAGAGGGCGACCGGCCACACUGGGACUGAGACACGGCCCAGACUCCUACGGGAGGCAGCAGUGGGGAAUCUUGCGCAAUGGGCGAAAG